UUAAAGAAAAACUAGAGCCACGCAAAUUUCCACCGGGGAACCGCGAGAGGCAGAGGGAGAGUCCCGCUAGGCCGCCAGCACUCUCUCCUCGGGCCACGGCCGACGCCCGCCGGAGGCAGAUCGACCCGGGACCUGCCGGCCGGCCGACCUCGCGAUGGAGCAGCGGCCGGCGUCCGCCCGCGUCGUCACCAUCCCCUUCGCCGACCUCGAGGAUAGGGGCAAGGACCUGAACGGCGUGAUCGGGGAUGGCUUCGGGCGCCAAGGGCUCGGCAUCGUCUCCAUCGCCGACGUACCUGGUUAUCCCGAGCUCAGGAAAAGGCUGCUGCGCCUGGCGCCAAGGGUUGCAAACCUUCCUGAAGAAGUGAAGAAAGGACUGGAAGACCCAAAUAGCAGAUAUAACUUCGGUUGGAGUCAUGGGAAACAGAAAUUUGAGUCUGGCAAAUUUGAUUCCCAUCAUACUGCCGACCAAACAUAUGGCCAAAUGAUGAUCUUCCCGAGCUUCAAACAGGUUACAUUUAAGGAUGAUGAAUUGGCCUACAUGACUGGGGAAACUGCUGAAAUACUAUCAAGAGGUCACCUACGUGCAACCCCACACUGUGUGAAGGCGCCCAGCUGCGAAGAUGCUUCGCUUGUUGACCGCUCGACUUUCGCGCUGUUUGUGCAGCCAAAUUGGGCUUCUUCACCUGAUCACCUCAACUGUGAUGAGCCAUGCAUAUGAGGCGCAACUAAGGAUGAGAAGAUCAAGUUUCCAAGUGAAUUCCCCUAUCACCAAGAGCUGUCGAUUCCGCCGAACGAAACACUUGCGUACGGGGAGUACUCGGAGAGGAUACUGAACAAGCACUACGAGGCAAGAACGUGAGGCAGAGCAGCUUCCACACACAGACACACUGUAAUAGCUAAGUGGAUCACUGAAUCACAACAAUGUACUAUACCAACAGAACAGAAAAAACCCGCGACGUCUGAUGUAUUUGGGAGUGGAAGGCCAGCGAGUCCUUGCAUAAA
Molecule: RNA transcript, 1002 nt
Organism: Panicum virgatum (switchgrass)
Lineage: Eukaryota; Viridiplantae; Streptophyta; Magnoliopsida; Poales; Poaceae
Exons: 11
Source: RefSeq, a predicted model, not a curated record